UAGAAGAGCUGUAACCGUGUUGUGGCC
Molecule: small RNA, 27 nt
Filed under: Bombyx mori (domestic silkworm)
Lineage: Eukaryota; Metazoa; Arthropoda; Insecta; Lepidoptera; Bombycidae
Description: ovarian small RNA-21802
Source: RNAcentral